RNAcentral lists this ribosomal RNA (253 nucleotides) under uncultured bacterium. Its description in RNAcentral is "partial 16S ribosomal RNA". It matches the Rfam family "Bacterial small subunit ribosomal RNA", at positions 524 to 776 of the family's 1533-position model. The record is from RNAcentral.
UACGAAGGGGGCUAGCGUUGCUCGGAAUUACUGGGCGUAAAGGGCGCGUAGGCGGAUGUUUAAGUCGGGGGUGAAAGCCCGGGGCUCAACCUCGGAAUUGCCUUCGAUACUGGACAUCUUGAGUACGGGAGAGGUGAGUGGAACUCCGAGUGUAGAGGUGAAAUUCGUAGAUAUUCGGAAGAACACCGGUGGCGAAGGCGACUCACUGGCCCGUUACUGACGCUGAGGCGCGAAAGCGUGGGGAGCAAACAGG